Molecule: long non-coding RNA, 32937 nt
Filed under: Coffea arabica (coffee)
Lineage: Eukaryota; Viridiplantae; Streptophyta; Magnoliopsida; Gentianales; Rubiaceae
Description: long non-coding RNA (CARA_LNC002613)
Source: RNAcentral
UUUUUUUUUUUUGUUAAGUAACUCAACAGAAACCAAUUAGUCAUACAAGUUAGUGUUAGUAAUCUUGCACUCGUUUUUUUAGGAUAAUGACCAUAUGAACAUGUGGAAGCCCCCUUCUUUUGGAAUUUAAUUAUAUGGACAUUUGCUGCAACUAUUUUGAAGAUAUUUUUUUGAAUAGUUGGUCUUUAAGAUCUUAUAGCUUGGCAUGAAAUACUCUUGACAUCAAAUCUAAUUAAUCUUGUGUAGUUUGUCCCCCCACCAAAUUUUGUUGAACUUCUAUUCAUUACAUAUUUGCAUGUCAUUGUAGUAAAUAGAUCUAUUUUUCCAGGAUGAUAGACUAAAGCAAAUGCAUCUAAAUAUCUUCUUCGCAUAUCUUGUGGGCUACCAAUAAACAUUACUGGUGAAACUAUCCUUUGGCCCAAAUUUUGUAGAACCAUGAUUUCGUAUAAAAUAAAUUCUAGGUCCAUAAUAUUGGAUCAUAGGAUCGUAAGAUCCCACUAAAAAUAUCUAAAUUAAUGAUUUUCAAUUCAUAUAUUACUUUAUCUAACAUAAAAGAUAUCAAUUGAGCAAGUUAAUCAUAAAUAUAUAGCAUUUUUUACCUGUAGUUUGAUAAGAUAGAAAGAAAAUGAAUGUAAACAGUUAUAAAUAAUGAUAUUAAGUCUUAAAAUCAAGUGUAGACAAUGGAAUUUUAAUUAAAUUCUAAAGAUUACCAUUGGCCUAUAAAUUAUUUUAUGGCAUAUUUUUACCCAAUUGGAUAUUGCCAUAUGCCAUGUACACCUGGAAAAAUUGGUUAUUAAAUGACCAAUUAUAUUUUGCCACGUGUCAAGGUGAGGUGUUCCAAAUCAAUUCAAAUUGCAGGGAUAUCUCCACCAACCAAAUCAUAUCAUAUCACAUGCCUAUUGGAUAAAUAUCUAAGUAUUUAUUUCUUAUUAAAGGGAUAAUAUUUAGAGUUAUUUAAUCCAAGUAUAUUUCUUAUAUACUGCAAUAGCUUGUCCAGUCAAACGACGCCACGUCACGCGUCCCCACGGGUUUGGCCAAUUGAGAAAUUACUUAUCUCUUUAUUAAUAAAUAUAAAAUGGAGAGAUAAUAUUUGACUGACACAGUCCUGAUAUGACUGCACGUCUUGCAAGACAAGUAGAGUAGUAUACAUGUUUUCAACCUCUACUUCAUACCACAAUUAUAAAUAGGGGUUUCUCUACCAAGUCACAGAGACAGAGACACAGAGACAUCUAGAGGCAUCUCAUACGCUCAAGCAUUGAAACUCCAAACUACGAAGAUCUGGGUCUUCAAGCUCCCCAAGUCUUCCAUAUAUCAAAACUUGAGUUUUCAAUUAUUUUCAAGUUCUUCAAAUCUUCCAUAUCAAAAUUUGAAGGAAUCGGUGGUUGAUCCAAGUACAAGCUGCGAAGCCCUUGGAUUAGCGUUCGAGGAGAAGAAUCGAAGGAAGCUCUCUAUAAGUUCGAGAAAAUUUCAGAGAUUGUACCUACAUAUUUCUAAAUUUAUAUAUUACAUAUUUGUCGUGUAUUUCUUUUUUCUUGUCGUUUUGCAGACUUGAAAUUUUAAUCGCGUACAAAUUUUUGGCACGCCCGGUGGGACCAUCUCUGCCUUCCAUCUCUUCUCUCCGAUUAUUCAACUACAUAUAUCAUCAAUGGCACCGAAAAGCAACAAAAUCAUGAUUGUACAUUCCAAGGCUACUGAUGCUAAGCCUGUUCAGGAAGCUGCACAUGUUGCCACCAAUACCCGCGCUAUUGUCCUGUGACAAGGAGUAUGAUGAGAGCCUCCACCCAAAGUAGCAUGGAAGCUCCAUCGGCGCCAACUGUCGUCUUCUGUUCAAUAUCACCAAUGAGCUAUUCUUCCACGAUAGGGAUCUAAGACGUUCCUGUCUCGAUUGAGAAAGCUCUUGCCAUGCUCAAAUUUGGAUUCGAAUCCAAGUUUUCUAAGCAUGAUGAUGAUUCAUCAAGCACUGGAUCAGCCUCUUCACAUGAAACUUUUCAUUCAAGAUUUUCUAUUGAAAAUUCUGCUGCUUUUUCUGUUGCAAUGCCUGCUAUGAUGACAAACACUUUAAGUCUCGAAGAACAAGUUUCGAACAUGUUCAAGAUGAUGGAAACCAUGAUGAAACACAUCAAGGACCAAGAUGAUCUUAUUGCUCAACUGCUCACCCAGAAAGAUCACGCUCCUGAAGGAAGCCACGCGAACCCUAAGGAGCACCAAGAGCGUGAAAUUCCCUCAUCUAAAGGCAAAGACAAGGUGAAGGAAGUAUAUGUGACUGCCGAUGGAACUAUGCCCGUGGAACAAUUGAAAGAACUUGUUGAAGGCGUGAUCAAAGAUAAAAAGGAGGGUGGUUCAAAGUCAAGCUUUACCUACUGCAAGUCUUACACUGCUAGAAUUGACAACCUAGCAAUGCCUGCUGGAUAUCAACCACUCAAAUUUCAACAGUUCGAUGGGAAAGGUAGUCCAAAAUAACUUGUGGCUCAUUUUGUCGAAACCUGCAAUAACGCUGGAACCUAUGGUGACCUGCUAGUCAAACAGUUCGUCCGAUCCUUGAAGGGCAACGCGUUUGAUUGGUACACUGAUCUCACUCCGGGGUCCAUCGAUAGUUAGGAACAGUUGGAACAAGAGUUCUUGAAUCGCUUCUAAGCACUAGAAAAAUCGUUAGUAUAUUGGAGUUGACUAACACUCGUCAAUGGAAGGAUAAACCUGUGGUUAACUACAUCGAUAGGUGGAGAAGUCUGAGUCUCAACUGCAAGGACAGACUGUUUGAACCCUCUGCCAAAGAAAUGUGCAUCCGAGGAAUGCAUUGGAGCCUAAGCUACAUUCUACAGGGUAUACGUCCAAACACAUUUGAAAAAUUAGCUACUCGUGCUCAUGAUAUGGAGUUAAGCAUCACGGCCAAUGCAGCUGAUGGGUUUCCUAUUCAGGCUCCCCGAGCGCAACCGCCUCGUUAAAGCAAUGAAAGACAAGAAAAUAAAAAAGGGGGCAACCCUCCUUCAAGAUUCAGUAAUAAGGAAUUCAUGGCAAUAAACACAACUCCCAUGAAAAUUACUACCAAGGUGAGCCGAAAGGUCACCGAAAAGGUAGACUUCUCUCAAAAUAGGUCUGUAAGAAGACCCACUUUGAAAGAGAUGUAAGAAAAAGAAUACCCAUUCCUUGAAUUUGAUUUACAAGGGAUGUUUGAUGAUCUUUUCAAGGAGAAACUCCUUGACCUUCCUGAAAUGAAGCGCCCAGAGGAAGUUGGUCGAGUCAAUGAUCCAAAUUAUUGCUGUUAUUAUCGUCUGAUUGGCUACCCUCUCACUAAAUGCUUUGUCUUUAAGGACAAAAUUAUGGAAUUAGCCCGUCAAGGAAAAAUCCUUCUGGAAGAAGAUAAAGCAUCGGCAAACCAAACAACAAUAAUGUUUGGGUCUGUGUGUUGUCCGAUAGAAGUUUUAGCCACAACAAGCAGUGCUUCGUCUAAGGAGUUUGAAAAAUCCUCAAUUGAAGAUGUUAUUGAAGAUGACAACGAAUGAUGGACUUUAGUCACUCAAAAGAGGACUUGCAAGCCAAAAAUAAAGAAGUACAUCUUUUCGAAAAGCAUUUGUUCGACAAAGCUUAAAGUGACAAUGAAACAACGAAAUGCAACAAAGAAACAAAAGGGAGUGGCCACAAAACCAAUUCCUUCAAAUUUUUAGCUCCUUCAAGAGGGUCGACAGCCCGUGACACUGAGAAAAUUUAUACUCAAGGGGUAUUUAAGUGACGAUACUGAUAAUUCUACCUCUUGUAAUAUCGUCAAAGCUGAAAAUCCUCAAGUCACCUAAAUUGGCACUGAAUUUGAGGAAAAACUCAAAAUCGAUGAUAAACCACCUGUGGAUUGUGCAACGACUAUCAUUUUUUAUGAUAACGAUUUAACUGUUGAGUUUAAAACCCACAAUCGACCUUUGUUUGUUAGUGCGUAUAUCCGAGAACAGAAGAUGAAUCGGAUACUCAUUGAUGGGGGAUCUGCUGCCAAUAUUAUGUCCGUACGUACUAUGAAAGAACUAGGAAUCUCAAGCGAUGAACUCUCCCAGAGCCGCCUCAUGAUCCAAGGAUUUAACCAAGGGGGGCAAAGAGCAAUUGGUCUCAUAAGGAUUGAAUUGUUCAUUGGUGAGUUGUCUUCAAGUGCGUUAUUUCAUAUCAUUGAAGCCAAAACCUCUUAUAAUAUGCUCUUGGGACGACCCUAGAUUCAUGAGAAUGAAAUUAUACCGUCUACUCUACAUCAAUGUUUCAAAUAUUAUCGAGACGGUAUAGUUAAGAAGGUUGUUGCUGAUGAUAAACCUUUCACUGAGGCCGAGGCUCACUUUGCCGACGCCAAAUUUUGCCUUCAGAAAGUAACAAAAAGAAAAGAAUCAGUAAAGGAAGAAAGUCAAGAUUUCAAAGUACCUAUUUUGCGGUAUAUUCCAAGAUCAAAGAGAGAAGAAGGUCAGUCUUCUUUUAUCAGAAAUGAUACAUUAAAUGUUCCGCUUACCAAAAUAGAGCCUGUUAAAAGUGAGAAAGCGAGCCUGCAAGGAUUUGUCCGUCCCAAAGAAGAACCGGCAAUAGAACAUUACUCACUACCAACUAAUCGGACUCAAGAAGGUUUUGAUCCAAACGCAUAUACACUUCUUGCUAAGGCGGGUUAUAACCCAAAUGAGGAGCAUGCAUUAGGCAAACUCCCUACUGAGGUGACUGGCGAGAAGAUUCAUGGAUUAACACCUACACAGAGAAUGUUGAAAGAAAAAGGCUAUAAUGUUGAAAGUUCGUCAAUGGGUCUUAGUUAUCAACCGCCUUCUCCAGUGCGUAUAAUGAUCAAAAGGGCAAGUUGUAACUACGUAAACGAGGAAAUGGAGGUCACAAGCAGAAGGAGAUCUGUGUUCGAUAGAUUGGAAAAUAAGUCAAAGCGUACUUCUGUGUUUGACAGACUUGGCCCGCAGCCGAAAGAUUUGAAACCGCCCGUCUAUAAAAAAUUAGGCAGUAAAAAGCAAGAGUACCAAGUUACCAAGGAAGAAAAUCUUACUCCAAUAAAGAAGAAUAGACCAAGAAAGUGAGUCUCCAAUUUCUUCAUGCACUAUGGAGACUUAUUUAAUGUAAGAAUUGAAACAAUUUUUGAAGAACAGGGUCAAGAAAGUAUGGCUUCCUGUCAUCAUAUUACGAUCAGUGAUUCCGAAGAAGAAGAAGAAGAAGCGGAUGACGCUCCCCCUGAACUUAAACAAGGGGUAAAAAAUACAGUCGAUGUGCUAAAGGAGAUUAACCUUGGCACAAGCGACGAUCCUCGCCCAAUUUACAUAAGCUCUUGUAUGACUCUUGAAGAAGAGAAAGAGAAUGUCGAUUUGUUGCUCGAGUUCAGGGACGUCUUUGCUUGGAAUUAUUCAGAAAUGCCUGGUUUGGAUUCAAAGAUCACCGUUCAUAAUUUAUCUGUCAAGCGAGGAACAAAAUCUGUCAAGCAAACUUAAAGGCGCUUUCGACCCGAAUUGAUUCCUCUGAUAGAAAAUGAGAUAAAUAGAUUGAUUGAAACUGAGUUCAUACGGGAAGUGAAAUAUCCAACAUGGAUUUCAAGCAUUGUCCCUGUGAGGAAGAAGAAUGGGCAAAUUCGAAUUUGUGUUGAUUUUCGAGACUUAAAUGAGGCUUGCCCCAAAGAUGAUUUUUCACUCCCCAUUACAGAAUUGAUGGUAGAUGCUACAACCGGGCAUGAAGCACUAUCUUUUUUCGAUGGAUCGUCUGGCUACAAUCAAAUACGCAUGGCACCCGAGAAUAAAGAGUUCACUGCCUUCCGCACCCCCAAGGAAAUUUAUUGCUAUAAAGUAAUGUCGUUUGGCUUGAAAAACGCUGGAGCGACAUAUCAAAAGGCAAUGCAAAGAAUUUUUGAUGAUAUGCUCCAUAGAAAUGUAGAGUGCUACGUUGAUGACCUUGUGGUGAAAUCAAAAAAGCGAGACCAUCAUAUUCAAAACCUUCGAAGAGUUUUCCAACGCCUUCGGAGAUACCAACUAAAGAUGAAUUCUUUGAAGUGCGCAUUCGGAGUCACUUCUGGCAAGUUUUUCGAUUUCAUCGUUCAUCAACGGGGGAUAGAGGUCGAUCGAUCUAAAAUGGAUGCCAUUGUGAACAUGUCUGAGGAGCAAAAUAUUCAUGAAUUGAAAAGCCUUAAGGGAAGUUGGCUUAUAUCCGGAGGUUUAUCUCUAAUUUGGCCGGACGACGCCAACCCUUUAAUCGACUGAUGAAGAAAGGGGUACCCUUCGAGUGGGAUGAAUCGUGUAGGAAUAAUUUUACAAGUAUCAAAACGUACCUCAUGAAUCCCCCAGUGCUGGCUGCGCCCAUUCCAGGGAAACCAUUGAUUCUCUAUAUUUUCGCACAAGAACGGUCAGUUGGGGCCUUACUUGCUCAAGAAAACGAUUAAGGUAAGGAGAAUGCGCUGUAUUACUUGAGUCGGAUGAUGACAUCUAAUGAGUUAAAUUGCUCACCCAUCGAGAAAUUGUGUUUGGCACUUAUAUUUGUCAUCCAGAAGUUGAAACAUUAUUUUCAAGCACACAAUAUUCGACUCAUAUCUAAGUCUAAUCCCAUUAAAUAUGUCAUGGCAAAUCCUGUACUGUCUGAUCGGCUCGCGAGAUGGUACCUCCAGUUUCAACAAUUCAAAAUUAUUUAUGUACCUGCGAAAGCUGUCAAAGGACAAAUAUUGGUAGACUUUUUAGCCGAUCAUCCUAUACCUGCCGAGUGGGAGUUGACUGAUGAACUCCCCGAUGAAGAAGUGCUUAUGGUCGAAUCCCCGUGGUUGAUGUAUUUCGAUGGAGCCGCGCACCGUGACGGAACUGGUGCAGGAGUUAUCUUUUAUACUUCUGAAUCAGAUAUAUUGUCAUACUCUUUCACUUUAACACGUCGGUGUUCAAACAAUGUGGCUGAAUAUCAGGCAUUGAUUCUCGGUUUGGAAACGGCCGGAGACAUGAAGCAGUUGCAUUUUAGGGUCUAUGGUGAUUCCAAAUUAGUAGUAAAUCAAUUUCUUGGUAUUUAUGAUGUCAAAAAUCCUGAAUUGAUCCCAUAUUAUAAGUAUGCAAGACAAUUCAUGGAAUAUUUAGAUAAUGUCACUAUAGAACAUAUCCCUAGGAAUUUCAACCAACUAGCAGACUCUUUGGCAAAGGUGGCGACCAUGAUCACUCUACAUUCUCAUCGAAAUCAAAUUUCAAUAUGUCAAAAUUGGAUCAUACCUCCGAUGUUCGAUGAAGAAGAUGCUGGUGAGGAAGAAAAUGCUUAUCAUAUUUUUGUCCAUGAGAUUGAAAAGAAGGAUUGGCGUCAUCUCAUCAUUGAUUACCUUAAUCAUGGGGAGUUACCAGAAGAUCCCAAGAAAAGGGUUGAUAUACGUCGUCGAACGCCACGUUUCAUUUACUACAAAGGGGACGCUUUACCGAAGAUCAUUCGAUGGGGUGUUUCUACGAUAUCUUGGAGAAGAUGAGGCCAUGCAAGCAAUGGAGGAGGCUCACUCUGGGAUGUGUGGUGCACAUCAAUCUGGCCCGAAAUUACACUUUCGCAUUAAAAGAAUGGGAUACUACUGGCCAACAAUGAUGAAGGAUUGUAUCGAUUUUGCUAGAAGAAAUCAAGCUUGUCAAUUUCAUGGCAAUUUCAUCCGUCAACCCCCUAAACCAUUGCAUCCAACUGUGGCUUCUUGGCCAUUCGAUGCUUGGGAUUUGGGUAUAAUUGGACCAUUCCCAAAAUCUUCUGGAGGACGCAUUUUCAUUUUGGCGGCGACGGAUUAUUUCUCAAAGUGAGUCGAAGCGGUUCAUCUAAAAUAGGUCAAGAAGGAGAAUGUGGUAGAUUUCAUUCGCUCGCACAUCAUUUAUUGGUAUGGAGUCCCACGUCAUAUCAUCACUGAUAAUGGUAAACCUUUUUGCAAUGUAGCAAUGAACAAACUUUGCGAAAAGUUUCAUUUCAAACAAUACAAUUCGUCCAUGUACUACGCUGCCACAAAUGGACUCGCUGAAGCGUUCAACAAGACCUUAUGUAAUCUGUUGAAGAAAAUCGUGGAUAAAUCGAAAAGAGAUUGGCAUCUUUGAAUUGGAGAAGCACUUUGGGCAUACCGAACUACUUUUCGAACUCCCACGCAAGCGACCCCAUACGCGCUUGUUUACGGUGUUGAAACUGUUCUUCCACUUGAGUGUCAAAUACCUUCGCUAAAAAUUGCGAUUCAAGAAGGGUUCAGUGAAGAAGAUAAUGUCCGUCUUCGCCUUGAAGAGUUAGAAGCACUCGACGAAAAGAGAUUGGAAACUCAACAACGAAUUGAGUGCUAUCAGGCUCGCCUUUCAAAAGUAUUCAAUAAGCGCGUUUGACCUCGCUCUUUCCAAAUUGGAGAGUUAGUGCUCGCCGUUCGGAGACCAAUCAUUCUCACUCAUGGCGGACAAAGAAAGUUUACUUCUAAGUGGGAUGGUCCAUAUGUUGUUCGAGAAGUGUAUACAAAUAACUCAUACAAGUUGGUUGCUGAUGAUGGAUUAAGGGUUGGCCCCAUCAAUGGCAAGUACCUAAAAAGGUACUAUGCGUAAUCAGAAUCGCGCGAUGCUCCUGACCCGCAUGAGCUAAAACUGUGGAUGGCAACCACCAAUAGUGUAGUAUGUGGUUAAACUGGUAAAACACUCCACCAAGUCUAAGGUGGUAAACAAAUAGAUACUCCUGACCCGCAUGUGGUUAAAAUGUGAACGGCAGGAACUACGUGUGACUUGAUUCCCUUGUUGGGAUAUGUAAGCAAUUUGGAGGGCAACUUCUAAGUUCAGUUACACCUCCUAAACCAAACCCUCUUUCUUUGCAAAAAAAAAAUCGUCUCUCUUUCUUUGAAAUAAAAUGCUAAAUUUAAAAGAUCUUUUCUCUUAGGAAAAAAAAAUAUAUAAUAAGAGAUAAGAAAUGAAAAAUAUUUUAUUAUUAAAAAAAAUUCAUUACAAGGGAAAAGAAAAAGAAAAAAUUCAGGGAAAAGACAUGGUGAAAAGUCUAAAUGUCAAAUUUGUAGUCUACUGUAGCUAUUUUACAUGAUUCUAGUACGGACUUCAUGUCUUCAAGUUCCUUCACUGCGUCAUCAGUCAAGAUGCCGGUACUUUCAAUAUAAAAGAGCUCAUCAUGUGCCCGGGUUAUUUCAGUCCGGAUCUCCUCAAAAGUUUCAUGCUUUUGAUCGAUAGUUGAGCUGAUUUUCAAGCCUUGUUUUCCAAGUUGAUAAGUUCCUGUUGUAACACUUUCUUCCUGUCUUCAAUGGACUGCAACUUUUCUUCAAGACUUUGCAGAUGACAAGUUAGAUCUUCUUCCUUCGUCUUAGCUCUCCCGAGUUGGGCGGUCAUCUUGGAAAGGAGUUCUGUAUGUGUUUCUUUACUCAUCUUUUCCCAUGAUGAAGAUGCCAAAACAUCAUAUGUCUCAACCUUGGCAAACAAUUCUAUCAAGAAAUCCUUUAAAGGGAGACCAUUUGUAGAAUCCGUUCUUGUGAUUUCCGCAAUGAUUUCCUCUGCGUACUCUUUUAAAGAAGAUAUCUGCUCAAUAGGAGUGUCAAGAAUCUGCCUGCGAAAAUUCAUCCACAAACUCUGCAAGUAUCUCCUUCGAUGCGCUUGGAUCAAUUUUUGCCCGUGAAAUUCUGAAACCAGUGCUGGUUUAGGUCUCUUUCGGAUCUCAUGCGAACCAAUUAACUCCUUCUUACGCAUUGAUGAGGUACCUCCACUGGGGACAAAUUGUUUUGGAGUACUGAUUGCUACUUCCUCCCUUUUGUUGUUUGAAAUUAUAUCAUCAGUUUCGAGUUUGGGUGGUGAAUUGUUACCAACAUCCUCUUGACGGAAUUCAGGAAACGGGGGCUGAAAAGAAAAAAAAAAAAAAGGAAGGUUACAAAAAAAAGGGUUACAAAAAAAAAGAAAAAGAAAAAAAUAAAGAGAUGAUUACCUUAAGUGGCGAUACUCCAACCAACGGUGGUGUAAAGGAAACAUCCUCCAAAAUAGAAGAUGUCCUCUUCUUUGAUCGGUUCCAAUGACGGUCUUGACUAUUACAACCGCUCGCCAACGAAUGAGUUCCUCCUCAGGUAGAUCUGAUGCCCUGAACUUGAGUUCCUUCCUUUUCUAUAGUCUCAAUAGAAUCAUGAUCGUCCACCGUUUCAAUUUCGACAUCUUCUUUUAUGUGAGUCACGGAUACGGAUUUUGAAACUUUGGACGGCGUUUUCUUUGUUGGAAUCACUGGUUGCGCCUCUUUGAUGGCCUGUCGAGAGUCCUUGGAAGACUUAUUUUUUGUGACAAUAUUUUUCGAUGGACUGCUAAUAAUUUUGUUCUUCCGCAUGACGGAUAAGGUAAGACCCGUCACAAUCUCUAUAGCUCCAUUAAGAUGCAUUGAUUCGUUGGCGGAGGUAACCUUACCCUUCUUCGAUGAUUGCUGAGAGAUAUUAACGGUGAAUUUAAAGGAAGUUGAAGAGAUACUAUUUGACCGAGUUGACCACCAGGCGUCAUAGUCUUUUGUGAUCAAUGGAUGCUUCUUGUGCAUGGGUAUAGUCAUCCGAGAUCGCGUCUGCGUACGAACUGAUGAAUCCCAUAGUUGAAUUGCCUCACCUAAAGUAUAAGUAUGAGUAAUCUCUUUCAAGUUGUUGGAAUGUCCUGACAGAAGCCGAAUUGUCUGCUAAACCUGCAAGCAUUAUAUUUCUCAAUAAUGAAAAUAUUGUCCUUACGUAGAGUUAAAUGGCAAGAGCGUUAACUAAUGAAGUAGCUCAUAAGUCUUGAUGAUAAGGAUCCAUCGUCGAUCAACACCUUUUCUUCAUUCUCAGCCCAACACAAUUUGGGAAGUAUCAAAGGAUUCACUUCUUUGAAGAUUUCCUCAGCUUCUGAUCGGCCAUAAAAUAUUGUCAUUUUCUCACCACUAAAUCUUGUCAUGCGCGCGUGGUGGCUACCCGCUUGAUUAUUUUCAUAAUAUACAUCGAAGUAUUGGCCAAUCCAAUCACAGACGUAAUGGAAUGGAAAAGUUAUCCCACAUUCUCCAAGGUUAGGGGCGUGGACGUUCUCCCUCAACCCAUGAUAUAUGCUCGCAAGAACGGGAAUCGCAAGGCAAAAUCUUCUCCCUGUGGCCAUUAAGCAUGCAACCUUGAAGACAUUUGGGCGAAUACGAUCGACCUUUUUGCUUGGUAAAAGGAACUUGCAAAUCCAACACGUUAUGAAUGCUGCAAUAUAGGUUUCCUUUCUUAAAGACCCUGGGAUAUCCAAUGUGUCGAAAGGGACGUUGAAGUCCUUUGUAUCAGCAAGGUCGUGUGGCUCUACGCUUCCAGAAGGGUUGUAAGUCAUUUUCAAUUUAGAUGUAGUCUUUCUUCUAUUCGCCCUACUCGGAGGAGCUCUAUACCUAGUCUCUCCUUUGAACCAGAAGUGAAUCCAAUCUUUCAUCCAUAUCCCUUGGUCAUUCGUCCAAAGGUGGUAGUAAGCGGAAAAGAUGUGCCUGCAACUCUCAGGGAGAAGUGGCUUCCCUUCUUUGUCACGAGUGAGAAGCUCCUGCGCCAAAGGAACAACUUCAUCAAAGAACGAGCCAUCGAUCGAUAGGCCACCAAGUCGAUAAAAAUCCCAAAGUGUGAUGGACAACUCCCCAACGGGCGUAUGAAGUGUAUUUGUCGAGGGACACCAAUAUUUGAAGAAGGCUCACAAUAUAUUUUCACAGCGAUCGUAGGAGUAUCGCAACGCGUAGACAGCUUCAAAUAUGCUAGCACGGGUGAGCACUUCUUUAUACCUUCCGAGGAUGUCCUCGACCCAUUCCCAAUAAUGAGAAGUGAAGCAUGCCUCGCUAAAGAAGGACGAAAGGAUCUUCCAUGUAGUUUUGUCAAUAUUGAAUCCCACGAACGAAAGCGUGAAUUUGGCUAUUUCUGGAUCUCCAUUAUGAAGUGAUGAGUUUAAUACAACCACUUCUUCUUCCCUCGACGUAGUGGAGAAAGUCGACGGUGCCACAACUUCUUUGGUCCACUUGCUAGUCCAAUCCACAAGAUGAAAGCAUCCUUCAAGGGGUAUAAAAGAUUCAGCGAACGUGCCGAUUGCUGGUUUAUGAACAUGUAGUGACAAGCUCUUUGAUUGAGGUCCACCCCGUUCAUCCGUCAAUGAAAUAUGUGGCAAUGGCGUGGCGUAGUCCUUAAUUUGCGUGAUUGCUGAAAUCUUGUAAAAGAAAGUAUUAGACAAUGAAGGGAGCGUCUUGCAAAAUUUUGGUAGUUAAAUUACCUAAUUGGUUGCCUUUUCUCAAGUCCCCGGAAUCGUUUCGAAUCCCUCUUCAAGCACAGUUUUGGUUAUCUAUAAGAAAGCAAGUUGACAAAGUUUAGAUCGAAAUCAUGCAUGAUAGUAAUAUUUGGAACGCAAAACGACUAAUGUGAAAUUGAUAUCAAAUUUCCAGCCAUAAGGAAUAGCUCGGGAAUAAUAUUUUGAGCCAAUCUUUGUUCUCAAAAAAAUAUUGAAAGGGCAUACAUGAUUUCGAAUAAUAUUUAAAGGGUAUCUCAAAUUAUAUUUUGAGCCAAUCGUCGUUCGGUCAAUUUCAAUCUUCCAGCCAAGACCCAAGUUUCGUUCUCAAAUAAUAUUUUGAGAAUUUAUUUGGUAAGUUUGUGAGGCUCUAAGCUUCUCAAUUGGCCGAAGUUCCUUGUAACAAUUAAAUAUUGCAAAAAAAAAAGGGGGCUUCAAGUACCUGGUGAGCGAAAAGAAAAUUAUUGGAGUGCAACCGAUGAAUGAUGAUUGAUGCUUGCGGCUCGGCAAAGGUGAUAACCAGCUUCAAAUUGUCCCUAUUGAUCGAAGGAUAGCAAAGCCAACAAUAAAGGCAAGUAAAAGUGAGAUGGUAUGUCGACGAAUGAUUGAUAAAAAAAAUUAAAAUUUUGGCAAGGCAGCCGUACGUCAAGGUGUGGUUGAAUGGUAGACUUCGGAUGCCAGGAAGAGCAGUGACAUGAAUCAAUGAAGCCACAAUUAUAAGGAGUCGUGUAUGCAAUUACAGUGGCUAAUGUGUUAUUCAGCUUUGUGGUAAAACUCUAAAAUAUCACUUUGAUUUGUUAGACAUAAAGAGUCGAGAUUCCAACGCAACUUGGUAGAGUGACUUGUAAUCGAAACAUGCAAGGAUUCGGAUACUAACUACUCACAAGUUUCGAGGUUUGGAAAUCAUAUUAUCUUAUAAUAAGUUGAUGGUUUAGGUUCAGAAGUUUGAGACAUGGCAGCUUAACAUGCAGAUUUCAAGUAUUAGGCACAGUUAAGAUAAAUUAAAAUAAGAAUGGGAACCAUUGAUACUAGGAGGCAUGAAUAUUUAUGAACGAAAAUUGGAGGUGACUACCUUCAAAGCUGUGGUAGAAGCAGCAACUAGAUUUUGCAAACGGCUCGCAACGUUAACAAAGAAGAUAUUGCCCUAAAUCUAUCUGUGCAGAAACUACCAAAAAUCAGCAGUUGUUCCAUGCAAAGUAGCAAAACGAGGAACACAAGCAGAGUGGUAAUGAGAGCGUCAAGUCAUUCAUCGGUUAAUCCGUAUGAAUGCUACUGUGAACUCAAGAAGCAUAUUAGAUUCAUGCAUGAAAGCUAUUUUGGCUGGGAUAAUAUGAGAGCAAGUAUGUCCAUGGAUAAUUUGAAAGUCCGAGAGAUAGUUAUAUAAAAAAAGGGGAGAGUUUUAAACUCUAGCAGAGAAGAAAUCCACCCAUAGCUCGGAGAAGUAAUGCGUAACUUAAAAUAAUUCAAGAGUAGCUCGGCAAGAGUGAUGUCCGACUUCAAAUUGAUUCUAUCAGUCGAAAAGGCAACGGAACCAAACAAACUAGCGAAUUAUGAACGAUGGCAACAGCAAAAAAAAAAAGGUGCCACGGGCAGGUCAAGUAAUUCCUUUUAGUUCACGCAAGAAGACUUGGCCUCGGGAAUUAUGCACGCUUAUUAGAACUCCAAUAAAUAGAAUCCAAGUCCAAUACGGAGUCCUCUGGGUCAGUUAUAGCAUAAGAAUGACACUUGCAUGGAGAAGCGAGUACGGAUGCGGCUUAUGUCUUUGAAGGAUGAGGGAAUACAAUCUCCUUUUGUAAUUAAAAGAUUGCACCAUGUCAGAGAUAAGAAUCCUGGUCAGGUUUCAAGACGCCACAUGUACAUCCUAAGGAGCAAAGGAAAACUUGGAAAUUCGGAUAAGUUAGCGAAGAUAUCAUUCGGUCUUGGGAGUGGAUACCACUAGAAGAUGUAGGCAUUUGAUGACGUAGCGAGGGAAUUUAAAUGUCUUGCAUGACCAUCUCAUGUUGAUAAAAGCAGCCCUCUCUAAAUUAUCAUUGGUCUAUAUUGGUCUAUGAGGCAUUUGAUAACACCAUGUCGCAUGACUUUGUCAUUGGUUCAAUAGCCACGGCAUUGCAAAGCUUUGAAUAAAGUCCAUGGAUUGACAUUUGAAUUGCAAAGCUUUGGGUAAAGCCACGGCAUUGAAUGGACUUUACUUGGAUUGAUAUUCAAACAGUGGACAUAAAGCUUCCAAAUGAAGUGAUCCGGCCUCGGGAAAUUGAAGGCACUAGUGAUCUUGGAAAUUGAGAUCAUUAAAGGAUGCAUUGGUGGUGUUUCACGUGGAGUUUGGGACCACUAAGUCAUUGGACUAUUAUUUGAGAUCACCAAGUCACUAGAUCUUCAAGUUUAGUCUAUUUAGGGACUUAUUUGAGAAUUAAUAUCCCAACGGUGCUCAAAUAAAAAAAAAUGUCGAAACUUGUCCGUUCAAAUCUCGCUUCAAUCUUCAGCAUUCGCGAACAAGUUUCGAGGGGGCAUUUAUAGACAAUGAAAUUUUAAUUAAAUUCUAAAGAUUACCAUUGGCCUAUAAAUUAUUUUAUGGCCUAUUUUUACCCAAUUGGAUAUUGCCAUAUGCCAUGUACACCUGGAAAAAUUGGUUAUUAAAUGACCAAUAAUUAUAUUUUGCCACGUGUCAAGGUGAGGUGUUCCAAAUCAAUUCAAAUUGUAGGGAUAUCUCCACCAACCAAAUCAUAUCAUAUCACAUGCCUAUUGGAUAAAUAUCUAAGUAUUUAUUUCUUAUUAAAGGGAUAAUAUUUAGAGUUAUUUAAUCCAAGUAUAUUUCUUAUAUACUGCAAUAGCUUGUCCAGUCAAACGACGCCAUGUCAUGUGUCCCCACGGGUUUGGCCAAUCGAGGAAUUACUUAUCUCUUUAUUAAUAAAUAUAAAAUGGAGAGAUAAUAUUUGAUUGGCACAGUCCUAAUAUGACAGCACGUCUUGCAAGACAGGUAGAGUAGUAUACAUGUUUUCAACUUCUACUUCAUACCACAACUAUAAAUAGGGGUUUUUCUACCAAGUUACAGAAACAGAGACACAGAGACAUCCAGAGGCAUCUCAUACGCUCAAGCAUUGAAACUCCAAGCUACGAAGAUCUGGGUCUUCAAGCUCCCCAAGUCUUCCAUAUAUCAAAGCUUGAGUUUUCAAAUAUUUUCAAGUUCUUCAAAUCUUCCAUAUCAAGAUUUGAAGGAAUCGGUGGUUGAUCCAAGUACAAGCUGCGAAACCCUUGGAUUAGCGUUCGAGGAGAAAAAUCGAAGGAAGCUCUCUAUAAGUUCGAGAAAAUUUCAGAGAUUGUACCUACAUAUUUCCAAAUUUAUAUAUUACAUAUUUGUCGUGUAUUUCUUUUUUCUUGUCGUUUUGCAGACUUGAAAUUUUAAUCGCGUACACCAAGCAUUUUACUCAAUAAUGAUUUCAAAUUCAAGAUAAUCAUCAAUCUUCAUCAACAUUGAAAAUCAUUACUUUUAAGUUCAAAAAUAAAACAUCAUUAACUAUUAAAAUGUCACUUUUAACUUUAAACAAAUAUGAAAAAACUAGAAAAGACAGUGGCUUUAUAAAUCAAGAACUUCAAAAUCAAUUCCCAUCUUCAUCUUCUUUGUAUUCAUCAUCUCCAUAACCUAUGUUUUCAAAAUCAUUAUUUUUUAAAAUCAUUUUCAAGAUACCAAUCCUUUUAGGAUCUAUUUUCAACAUCAUCUUCACCAUCAUCCAUAUUAGUAUCAAAAUCAUUGGUUUUCAUUUGAACAUCAUCUUUGAGUAAUCAUCAUCUCAAGGAUAGAUCAUCUAAUAAAAAAAUGAAUGAAACUUACCAAAAUGAAAAAAAAAACUUUUAAAUUGAAGUCAUGGAAAUUAGAAAAUAAAAAUAAUAAAACUUGAAAGUCAAAAGUAAGAAAUAAACUUGCAAGUCCUUUGUACAUUUCUUUUUAAUCAAUUCAAUUUCAUCAUAUCUCCAUUUUCCUCUUCAUUCAAGGUGUCACAAUGUAGAUUUUCAUCUAAAAUCACAACCAAUUGUUUUCCUUUGAAGGAGUUGGUUUUUCUAUUUUUGUUACCCAUUCAUCGUUUGAAGAUAAGCCCUCAAAAAAAUUUCUUUUAUGACAUAUUGUCUUUGGCUUUAUCUCUUUUCUAAUUUUAGAUUAUAUAUCACAAAUACUAGAUUAUUCGUUCUUUUUUCUGCUUGCUAAUUUCUUCUCUUAGAGUGCACAUAUUGUAAUUGAAACAAUUUAUACCAAAAAUAUGUUCAAAUACAUAAACUAUAAGUUCGAACUAAUUAUUGAAUCAAACAAUAUACUAUAUGUAAAUGUUCUUAACAAUUCAAAUGCACUUCAAUUACAUUCACAUAUAAAAGAACCACAAGUAAAACUUAAGACUCUGGUAGCAAUAUUUUCAACUUUGAGCAUUCAUCCCCAUAAGAUUCCUGCCAAUCAGUUCAAAUUAAAAUGAAUCGGAAUCAAUACAAGUUUUUAAAAGUGAAAACAUACAUGGACAACUACGAACUAACUAGAAUAUUCUUGUUCUUGUCAGGUCUCAUGACCAAAUAAUCCUUUUACACAUAAAAAAAUAUCUAUCUGUAAAUCAUUUUUCAGCCUGACACUAGAAUUAGGAACCAUCUUUGUAAUGCAAUCAUAAAAGCCACGUUUUACAUUUGCAUCAAACUAAAAAUUUGAACUAUAUUAAGAUUGGGGAUUGAAAUUGUAACCUGCAGUAUAUAAGGAUGCUAAGUUGAUAUUCCCAUUUUUUGUCAAUGAUAGACAAUGCUUAUUGAUAUCUAUAAUAUAAAUAUGAGUUUAAUGAGGAAAUGAUUAAAUGAAAAUAAUUUUAAUAACUAUCAAAAGGUACUACAAAUGAAUGCAUAAUAGGCAUUUUUCAAAAAAUUUACCUCUUUCAAGUGUUUUUCAUAUUUUAUUUAAUUUCUUCUUUUUCAUGGUCAAUUGCAUUGUUGAGAAAACCAUUGUAGAAUUGUCAUCAAAAUCUUCGAUCCUCAUCUCUUUGGUUAGUGGUAAAGCUAUCUUUAAAUAUAUCUCUACAUUUGGCCAAAAUUGUUAAUUAUCAAAAGCAAUGCUCUCAAUUUGUUUCCUUUUUUCCUUCUUAGCAUAACUAUCUCUUUCACUUGUCAAAGGAGAAAAAAAUAAAAAAGUUACCUUUUAAUUCACUUAGACAUUGCAUAGUCAAGUAUAAAGUAGCAAAACAAAUAAUACCAAACCUAAUUAGAUUCUUGCCAUUUGUAAAUUGUUUCAUCUCAUCAAUGACUGUACCCCGUAAGUAAAUAUAUGAAACAACUAAUCUAGCCUUCUCUAUGGUGACUUUAUAGAGUGCAUCAAAUUUUUAAAAAUCUUCUUAUAUCAGAUCAAUACAAUGAGUAGAACAAGGGGUCCAGAGCAAAUCUUUUUCUUUUGUCCAUCAAUGUUUUUAAAACUGUCUUAUAUUUAGAAGCAUCAUCAAUAAUAAUCUGGAUAAUAUUACCCUUUUCAAUUUUUUGGACAACACUAUCUAACAAUUCAAAUAACUUUUGAGUUGUCUUUGAAAUGUUAGUGAUAGCUAUAGAAGAUAAGAACACCAUACUAGCUGGACUAUGCACAAGAAAAUUGUUAAUUGUUCUUUAAAAAAUUGUUGAUUAUUCUUUUUCUUUGAUUGGACCAUCAGACAUUUAAUAAAACAACCAGUCCUCUUUCACUCCUUUUUGUAUUUAGUAAGUAAAUUCAAUAUCUCUUAUACUUUUUUUUUUUUAAGAAAGUCUCUCUCACAUUCAUGGUAUGAAAGUCAAUUAAGUAUUUUUCCAUAAUCUUCGAUUUUUUAAUCAUCUAAGAAAAGUAUGGAUUACUCAUAACAUCAAAUGUAAUGGCACUUGUAUGCUACUACCUAACCAUGAUUUAAUGAAUUUUAUCUCUAUCUUGUUUAAUGAAUUUUAUCUCUAUCUUGUAUUUGGCAUUUGUCAUUUAUAUUUUUUUCUUGCAUGCACAUUUUUAAUACUUUUUCACAGCAAAACCUUUCAUAGAGCAUUCUUUAUCCCUCUACUAAACUUCUUCCUCCUUUUCUAAGCCAUAUACAUUACUAAUUCUUUGUUUUUCUCUUUGAUUUCUCAAAACUCACACUUAAUAUGUCAAAUAUUUGUCUUCAAGCAUCUUUAGGAAUUAUGAGACAUGGUUUGACAUUUACAUUAUACAAGCUAAGUUGAUACAAUUUUGUUGAGAUUAAGGAGACCCAAUGUCAAGACAAGCCACAGGAUCAUUUUAUGGACAAGUUUGGUUUGUAGAAUAACUAAAAGACCCUAUUAACCCCCUUAGCUGUGAACUUUGAUACAAAAUCUCAACCUACAACUAAAGAAAUAAGAGAACCCCAAUUUUUAGUAGAAAACACUGCAAUCAAGUGCAAUUCUUGAUCGACAAGUCAAGUUGAAGACGUCAAGACGCACUCAAGAGAAAUUCAAGGGUAGUUCACAAGGGCCCAAGAAAAAACUCUCAAUUUCAAUUAUCAUAGUCUAGAAGAAUCAGUGGAUUAAUUUCUUUGAUUCAAGAAUUUUCAAAGAUUGUAAUCCUUUUAUUCUUUGAUUUAAUAUAUUUGUUAUUUUGUGCAAGUUUUCUUCUUUUCUAUUCUAGGCAACUAAACUUGUGCUUACAACUAUAUACAAAUUCUUUUAUGUAUGAAAUACCAACUAAAUUGAAAUUUAGCAACUUGACAAAUAUUAAGUAAUGAAUACAAAUAUACUACAUAACAAUACAAAUUCUUUUAUCAUAAGUCUUGUUUGGAAGCAUAUCAAAUUAGGCAAGUAAAUAUCAUUGUUGAAUGUAAGAAACUAUGUCUCAUCCAAACAGGAUGCAAGCUUAUUUUUGGUACAAUUGAUUAUUGCAUUUGUUGAGGGGUUAAUGUUGUAAGGCUUGCUCAGAAGUAUGCAAAAUUAGCGAAAUAAAUGAAACUAUUGAAACUAAGGAAUUGUGGCUCAUCCAAAUAGGAGACAUAAUUGAAUUAUUGGUAAAAUGAAUAAGAAAACAAAUCCAAGAAAAAAGGACUCAGGGUUGGGAGAUAUCUAAGAGGAUCCCUCAACAAAUUUGUAAUUGGGGUCUAACGUACGCUUCAUUAUUUAUUUAUAUGAGGGUAUAAUUAGAAAGUGAAAACUAAAUCACUAAGGGUCCGUUUGGUUGGAUAGAAAAUAUUUUCACUAGUGAAAAUAUUUUCCAUCGAAGUCAUUUUCCUGAAAAAUCACUUCCUUCUCCAUAAUUUUCCGGUGUUUGGUUAUUUAGUGAAAAUAUUUUUCAAAUUCCUUUUUUCAUAAUUUUCCGGUGUUUGGUUUGUCAGUGAAAAUAUUUUUUGACUUCCUUUUUUAAUGUUUGUUGAUAUGUUGCAAAUGUUUUUCUAUUCUCAAAACAUUCAUCUUGUUUUUUAGCUUCUAUCCAUUAUAAUCAUAUUAUCAUUUUUAUAAAAUAUUUAUUCAAAUUAUACCAUGAAUUCUUAAAUGGAAUUAUUAAUGACACUAAUGAAUUGGUUUUUGAUCUUCCUUUAAAAAAAAAUCAUUAAGGGGGUGAAGUGGAUUCAAUACAAUUCAUUGUGUAAGAAAAUGGACGACUUUGAUUGGACAUGGGAAAAGGAUGCUUGCUUGUCCUAUUCAUACGGCUAGAAAGUAAUCAUCGAGACCCAGAUUGUAGCUGUCCCUUCCUUAUCUUUGACCUGCUAAUCUUUGCCAACAAAAAGGCCCAGCUUCAUAGCAGUAAAUAGACCCAAAGCAAUCAGAAGUGGCCGGACUGCCCAGUGAAAAUCCUCAGGGUGCUGAUACUUUUUCACCACUCCAGGAGAAGUGCUAAAAGAAACACACUGAACUUCAGAUGGAUCAGCUAAAAAGCUACUAUUUUCAUUACCAAAUGUCAACCUACCAGGAAACCUAACAACAAGGCACCCAUUUGGUAAGACUUGACAAAUUCUCCCAGUUGCCCACUCGCCACCUCUUUUUCGGGGCCAUUCAAAUCAAGGAUUAAAUGUAUCAGACUUCAGCCUAACAAAUUGCCCAACACAGUAAGUUUCUGCCAUCUGGAGCUCUGAAUAUCUUCCCUUCCAAAGUGUCUCCAUUCCUAUAAAUCCAGCAGCUACACUUCCAUCACGGUUGAUUAGAUGAAGGAUACAAGGAUACCUAUUGGUGAAUGUUUCUUUCCUUCAGCCUUCAAUCGCACCAAUCUCCAGCAGCAAAUCCAUAACUUACACGUUCCAGUGGGCAUCUGCCGACGAGUCUUCAAUCGAUGGUCUUCAAUCGUUGAGAAUGGGCGUCUGCCGUAGUGGAAGAAUGCCUUUAGGGCGUGCUUUCAAGGAAGGUUUCCUUCCCUCGGCGUAAGUUAUUUUCCAUCAGAAAUCAUUUUCCCAAAUUAAAUUGUAUCCAAACAGUGGAAAAUUAGGAAAACAUUUUCUGGAAAAUAUUUUCCGUCCAAACAAACAGAGCCUAAAUGAUUUUCACACUUUUAAUAUAGUAUUAGUAUAGAUGUACAUAUGAUUUAUUAACUUUUCUAAAGCAACAUUUGUAGAAUGCUCGUACUUCCUGUUGCAUUGUUUUGCUAGUGUAUUAGUGUAUUUUUUUAACUCCCAAGUUUAUAGCCAUAUUUUCCCAAAAAAAAAAAAAAAACAAUUUUUUUGACUCCCAAGUUUAUUCAGUUUAAAACAAUUUCUCUUUACGCAAGUCCAUAAUUGUUACAUUGUUAUAUUAAUAAAAUAUUUCAAUAUUGAUUUUCAGUUUGUGAUUGUGAAGCCUACCAUUUCAAUAUUUAUGCGCCAUUGUGGUUAGAUGGAAGUUUGUACUGUGUAAAUUCAAGAUACAGUCCAGCGCAUCUUUAGUUUUGCCAGCAUCCAUUGCAUUUUCUUUUCUCUAAGUUUUUUUUUAGUGAAUAUAUGUGUAUAUUUCAUCUGUCAGCGCCAUUAGAUUUGCUAUCCCUUCUCUUGGGAUAUUUUUAUAAGUUAUACUUUUUUUUUAAUAAAAAUGUCAAUUAUGUUUGGCGGGUGGACUUGUCUACCCAUUUUAUUAAUAUAAGCUUUAAAAAGUAUAGGGGUUGGAGUGGCAUAUAGACCAAGACUCCAAUAAACAAGAAGAAAAAUAACAGGAGUACUAUUUCCUUAUAAUUGUAACUUAGUACUAUGAGGAAUGUGCGGUUACUACUGUCUAUCUAUACACGAUACGCCCUUGACGCGUGCAGGCAGAGUAGAAGCUUCAUACGUCACUGAAUUUUGAGUUGUGCUCGCUCCUUUGGCUAAGGCAUCGACCGCAGAAUUAACUCUAAAAUUUUAUUAGGAUUGAGAUCAAAUUUAUAAAUUUGAAUCGUAGAAUUGUGGGGUUGUCAUUGGAUUGUAACAUGAGAAAGAAUGCGUGGGUGUGCAAUGUGUCCGUAAGUAUCAUGGAACCAAUAGCAAAAUAUCACAAUUUAAAUUAAGAAGGCUAAAGAAAAGUUGCUCUAACAAUUGUAAUAAUCCAAUCCAAAAGACCAUUAUUUGACAAAAAAAUAUCCAAAAGACCAUUAUGCUAAAAAAAGAAAUAUACAAAAGAAAAAGAGGGUCGCCUUCGAAGAAGUCAUAUGGAGCAUAAAAAACAUAACGAUGAUUGCGUCCAUUUAGCUCUGUCACACAUUUGACGGCCCGCAUCGAAUCUUUUAUCGGAGCUCCUAAUCUUUGACUGCAAAACUUAGCCCGAAUCCGACAUUGCAAAAGUCCACUACGCCUACACAUUGCAAAAUCAAUUCAAAUUAGUCAGGUUUUUUCCGAACAUAGAGAACCAAGAAAAAUGGACAUUCCUAAUACAACAUUACCCGGAAAAAAAAAUACAACAUUACCCGUAUAACAUAUUCGUAAAACUUAUGAACCCGGAAAAAGAGUUGCAUGUCUCUGUUUUGUUUCUUUCGGCAAACUUAUUUUCUGAACAUAGAUAGGAAAUUUUUUUUUGUUUGAAUUUCUGGAAUUAAACAUGGCGAGAAUAAGCAAUAUAACAUUGUGUUAAAUUUUGUCUUGUACUAGCUGCCCGUUGUAGUCGGAAUUUACAAUUUUGUAACACUAAAGUGAAUAGUAGCAAACAAUGAAAGGGGGGUAUUUUAAAAAAAAAAAAAAAAAAUUAGUAUCUACGUAGUGUAUAGCACAGUGGGUUUUGGGGCCCACUCCUGCCAAAAGCCAACAGAUCCUACCAAGCCUCAACCAUAGCUUGUCAAACAUUAGCGGAAGGAGCCCAAAAAAAAAAAAGGACACUUGUCAAUAAUGCAAAAUACUAUUUUGGCUAAUUUCAAGGCAAAAAAAUCCAGAGACUAGAAGCAAUUUCUGGCACACACUCUUGAUGAAAGUGACAAUUAAACAAACCACUCGCUCAUUUUGCCAGUUGCUCAAUUUCACUUGCACGACCGAUGGUAUACGAAACGUAGGAUAUUUGUGUUUAUCAUUGUAGUAUGAACAGGUGUGAUUUUACAUCAGGUAUAGACCAUGAAAGAAAAAAGAGCUCAUGGAAUUUUACCUCCUCAUACAACACCCAACCUGCACAUCCUUCUAUCAUUAUCUACAUUUGCAUCGCAGAAACGAGCAAAGAUUUGGCAACUAUAAAGACGGGGAAAUUGUAGAAACGAGUAUGAAUAACAGAUCAUUUGCAUGGUUUUUGCAUAUCGAACAUUUUGGUUUUGAAAGCCCAAAAGAACAAAAUUUCGAGGUUAAAUAAAUAAGCAUAGAUCAGAAAAGGAACAAAAAAGGGAUAAAUCUGAUUAGGAGGCUUAUCGUGCCAAACAGGUCAGAUGGAGCAAGGUUACGAGUAAAACUAGUCCUUGAGACUUUUCAGGAUUGAUCAAAGCGCAAAGAUUGGCCAACGCAAGUCAACUGUAAACCUAGCGAUUAGGUUGCAAAGGAGGUGAAUUACCAGAGAGUUAGCCACAACGUCGCUUGCUACAUCAUAUAAUGGGAGAAAUUCAUAGCCAAGGAAGUCUCUUGCUACAUUAGUACACACGCUGACGGACUAUGACAAGUAGUCAAUCCAGUACGUUACUUCCAAGUAGUGUAUAUCCUACACAACUAACGAAAGUACCUCAGAAAAGAAAACAGUGUAGUAGCACUUAAGGCAUAGACGAUUCAUGUUCAAUGCGCUUAGGGGUAAAAACUUCAAGGAACGACCACAAGGAAGUUUCUAGUAAUGGAGAUAUAUUUAAGAAACACCGAGCUUAACUUUACACAAAAUGUUACGCACAAUCACAUUUGUGAAAAGGCAUACAAACUCAACGCAUAGGCUUUGCUGUGUAUUCUAUUAGAACUAGUUUAACAAAACGGCUAUAAUGUGCCAAAGAAAUGCAGUUAAAACACUGCUGUUACAAGAGCUAAGAAAUGGAGUUAAAACACGAAUUGUUCCGAGUGUCGAAGAGAUGCAAUUAAUACACGAGCGUUCCACUUCAAAGAAGACUUCGCAAUGGAGGAUACAAUCAUAGACCAAAUGUUUUGGUUAAUAUUUCCCUUCAAACAAACCCCAUUGGACCGCUAAAGACUGCAUAGAUCUGGAGAUUCCCAAAUAGGGCACCCUGUUUUCGUUCAUCAGUUUUAUCCUAAGAUACCAUUUGCCUUCCACAACCCGUCUAGCUGCAUUAUUUAUUUCCUAUUUACUUUUGCCAUAUCGUAGAACUCCAACCAGUAUUUGGUCAUGAUUGACCCUUCUCUACAUUUUACAGUCGCUAUCACCUUCUAGCCGCGCCAUAUGCUUAUUAUCAACUCGCUAUAUAUUUGAGUGUCCAUUUAUCCGGGUCAGCACAAACCUAUGCAGUCAAUGAAUCAUCUAAAUUCGUUAGCAUCUAUCCCAAGUCAUACUUGACUGAACAAAUGUUCAAUCCUCAUUGUGUAGACUUGUUAGUAAUCUUCCCACGUAAUGUAGCGAAAAACAUGUAGUUAUGUGAAUACAGACAACGAUUUAAUUUAUAGAGAGUACCUAAGUUAGACAAAGAGUUGAAGAAUCCCAAUCUUUUUUCAAUUUUUUUAAAAACAUUAUCAUAUUCUUUUGUCUCGACAAAAGUUGGUUGGUCAGCUCUAAUUUGUCAAAUUGCUUUGGUCUAUCAAAAGUUUGUUGCUAAAACUAACAGCGCAAAUUUCAUCGGUUUGGGCAGCAGAAGCUAACACGCUUUAAAAGAGCUAGGUUAAUUCCUUUAGGUGCCACAUUUUUUCACGCAAUAUACUGUGAACUGACGGAUUCCUAUCAGAGUUUGUAAAUGGAGUAAUACUUUUCAGUCUCAAGUUUAGAUUUGAUUAGGAGAGAAAUUUUUGGAGUUGCAUUCAAUGUAUUAAGCACGUGAAAGUGUAAAAAACUUAAUUGGUAUGCUGGAUUGUAUACUCUGGUACUCGCAGCCUCACACCCAGCUUUAUGCUUUUGGGUUUGAAAUAUUAAGUACACGAAGGUGUAACAAACUUGUAUGGUUUGCUGGAUCUAUACUCUCGAAUGCACAGCCCCACUCCCAGGUUAACCUAGUAGUAAGUGCUCCCACUUUGACACCCAUCCCCAUGAAUAGAAAACCUCAGGAACCACUAAGACAGUUACAAGGUCAAAAGCGCAAGUCAGUCAUCAACAUUUUUAUCUGCUCAUUGCAUUUACAUCUUUCUCCAAGCCUUUUUCCCUUUUCCCGGUCUUAUUUGCUAUAGUUAACUUGAAUCAGUUAUGCUCAGGUAUAUGCUCCAUAUAAACACUUCUACUCUUUUCCGGCUUAUUAAUGGCAACUCUACAGACUCCAAUAUGCUUUAACAUCUGAUAUUAUCUCACUUAAAACUCUUCUAUCCUACCUACAGAAAGAACAUGCAUAAAGAAAUAGAGAGAACACCAUAGGAAUAUUUAGAAAAGUAAACAAAAGCUUCAUAAAUUAGGAUUACACUUGACAAGAUUCAUAGAUGCUCAGUGUUACAGAUGAAAAGUAUGACACCAACAGACUGAAAGAAUAUAGUUAACCAUAGUCAAGAAAAGACGCAAUCUACAGUGACACAUGAUGGACUUGAACAUGCAACAGAAAAAGGCAAAUGCUUAGACAAGCAGUCAAACAGCCCUAAAGCAUAGAUGUAAAUUUAUCUUAACUACCAACCAAUUGCUUGACGAGAGUCAGCACAGGCAUACAUGUAAUCAAAAUAAGUAUUAUAAAUCACCAAAAAAAAAAAACUGAAUAUCCAAGCAUGGCGCCAAGUUUACAACUUGCUACAGCAUUGACUCAUUAAAGACAACUAAAUUUAACAAUGAGACAUUCAGAAUAUACCACUGUAGAGAAAAGGUUACUACAAUUCAUCUUCACUAACAGCCAGAUCGGGAGGCGAAGUGAUGAAGAUUCUCUGUUCCUCCAUUUUUUCUUUGGUUUUCCUAUGUUUUAGACAGGAGAGGAGGGGUUUUUUUUUUUUCGGGAGGGGAGGGAGGGGGGGUGUGUUUUGUCACUACGGUACUAAGGGAGCAAUCUAAUCCCUAAUACUUUAGCUUAACUUCAUGAAUAAGUAUGACAUAAAAGAUGCAUCGAACAUUGAAUCCAGCUAAAACAACUUCAGUAACAUCUGCUAAACACACCCAACUUUUUUCCUAGUUGUAAGUAUUCAACCAUGCCAUAAAGACAGCACAAGGGCAAACUUCUAGAACAUACUGAUUUAAUCAUGAUGGAGUUCAUGGAACUUAAAACACUAAGUUUUGCCCCAAAAAAAAAUGACACAGGAAAUGCAUUAUUAAAACACGGGAACAAAGGCCCAAAACCUGUAGGAAUAAACAAAUUAUACAGUUUACACUUGGCCAAGUCAAAAAUACAAUAGACAUGUCUUUAUAUGGCAUAUUCAACAACCUAACAUAUAUUAGUGCACUUCAGCAACACACAACAAAAAUAAAUUUGAAUGUAGUUAACUUUAUCUGCAUCAAACUAAUCCUAAAGAGAUUCCUCUCACCCCUUUCAGUGGCAAACUUCCUGUUUUUGUCCCACUGAAUUCCGCUACAAAAAUAACUUAGAAUGUACAACUGAACUCCAGUAAAAGAAAAAGACAAAAAUACAUUUGAAUGUAGUUCAAUUUAGCUAAAGCACCCCAACCAUAAAGAGAUAUCCAUGACAAGUGUAAGUGACAGAUACUUCCUAAAGUAGAUGACUAAAACAAGAAUACUGUCUGGUUUGUUCUAAUUCCCUCCAUUUCAGCAACAAACUUCCUGUUUCUUUCUCCCGGUCAACAACUUCCGUUUUUGCUUAAUGAUCAUCCUUAAAGACCAGAAUUCACACCACCUCCUAUCAAUUACCUAAUUUAACUUCUACAUUCCACAAGCCUAACUAAUAUGCACUGCAAUUAGCUAAACAAUUUCACCUGAAGACUUCAAAUUUAAAUAAACUCCUAAAGCAGGCAACUAUCGACCAAGUAACUUUCUAUCUGCAGGUAACUUCUGAGAAACUCCCAGCGCAUCUCCUUGACACCAAAUUCCCCCCAAAAAAAUUUUCAAUGAAUGUUUCAAAACAGCAUUGCAGGGAACCACCUACUCAAUUCCAGCCCAUUCAUUAGCUUACCUCAAUUUCUUUUUAAGCCUCAGGCAUAGAAAACUAUAGCCAACUAAUUUAGGAACGUACUCUUCAAAGAGAUUAAAACCAAAACAGCACAUGUUCACCAAUCACAUAAUAGCAACACAGCAGAUCAUGAAAACUGCAAAAAUUUAACUCUGCCCUCCCAUAAUCAAACCAAAAUGCCUCAUUAUAGUAGAAGAGCAGCUAUCAUAAAACUACUCCAACUGAUGACAAACAAAGGAAUUGAUAUAUUACCUGGUGGGGCAAUUCUGUCAGCUGCCAGAACCUUGCCCAGUCUGAGUUCCAGGUGGUUGCUGCACCCUGUUAAGGAGAUUGACAGCAAAUAGUAAAGUUGAUUGAUAGCGUCUAUUCUUUUCUUCCUCAGUCUCAGAUGUAUCCUGGCCUGCUCCUUGCAAAGCUGAAUGAUGCUCCUGCACCUGAUUCCUAACAUCAGCUUCAGUAGUUUGUGGCAUAGAAGCAUGCUGUAGGACAUUGGGACCAUUAAUCUCACUGCCCAAUGUUACAAGAUUUGUAGGCUGGUGAAGGACCGACGAACCAUACAACCUCAAUGCAUCAGUUCCCUGUGCCAUCCCAUGCCCCUUCAGAGGAUCAUGGGGCAUUCCAAGUUGAUGCUGCUGGUCAACAUUAGACAAGGCUGAAACCUGUCCUUGAGAUGGGGUUGCAGAGGCAAUUGGUCUAGAUGACACAGCACCUUGAGGUUGCAUGUUGAAACCACGAUCUUGGAUUUGGCUAUAGCCAAGGGCACCUUGAGCAGGAAGAUUGAGGGUGUUUGACACCGCAGGAUAAGCAUGAACUUGUGGAAUAAAUUGUGCUUGGCUAUGAAACUGGCUGUUGAAUUGUUGUGUAACAUAACCUGCUUGCUCAGGAACUUGACGUUCAUGCUGCCACCCUUGUGGAAGUCCUUUAUCAGGUGCAGGGGUAAUAUUUAAUGCAGGGCCCAAUGUUGUUGAAGCGGACUGUACUGAUGAACUUUCUGAACCAGAUGACUUACUGUUUCCCUGAUAUAUAGAAGCUAGAGUGGCAAUAAGAUCAGGUGUUAAUUUAAGUCCAGCUUGAGAAACUGCAGCAUUAUUGAUUGGCGGAGUAGAAUUCAAAGAGGAGCCCAACAUUUUCAGAGGUGGUUUCAUAUCUUCCGGUACCACCUUGUUAUAACCCAUUUGCAUACCAAUUUCCUCCUGCGCUAUCUCAUUAUAUCCAGUUAGAGAACUAGCUUGCUGCUGUGCAUCCACAUACUGCGGCUGAACCAAUGACGGCGGAAUAUUUGAGCUAGCAGGAGCUGCUUGGGGAAACUCUAAAACAACUCCAUAAAGCCUUUCAGGUCCCGUAACCUUAAGAACAUUGGUCAGAAAAUCAGAUGGAGGCACCAAGAACAAGGUGGUGCCAUCGUCAAACUUGGCAACACCAGCCCGAUUUCUAGCUCCCAAGUAUCUCAAAAACUCUGUAUAUGAAGCAAAAUCAGCUUCACUGUCGGGCAAGAAGAAUGCGAUGCUAAAACCAACAGCAUCAGCAUAAUGCUUGGUUAACAAGUCCAACCCAGUCCGAGCUGUGCAAUUAACAACCUCUGGACUGCAAAAUGAACACACAUUAUACGUCAAGCCAAUAGUGGAAUUAAAUCAAAUAAAUGUUGGCAAUAAGCUAAAUAAACAAAAACUCAUGGAAAGAAGAAAACUCAAAGGCAGAAAAAUUCGAAAAUCAGCAAGAACUAAAAUGGACUCAACCGCCUGGAUCCCAUACAAACACUUCAUGGAACAAUCAGACUUCUGAAAUAGGGAAACUACAGGUGAACAAUUCACAGCUUUUCUUUGUUAGCUAUGUCCCAUGCGUGAAGCAUAUGCCACACUCAGAAUAAAUACUGUUGAUGAACACUCAGCACUAAACCCAUCCAACAAUUUUAAGAUACUCAAAUAGAUGGCUGAUACUCGGGGAAAAAAAAUGAUAUGCAACUAGAAAUACUCCAUGCACAACCUACUUAACAGAGAAAAAUAGAAAAAGAACACCAGUGAAAACCACCCCACAACAAAAUUACAAAAACUUAGCACACUUACAGUAGAACUUUGACGAGAUCAUGAAAAGCCCAAAAGACCACCCAAAUAAACUAAACAUCAGAUUCUAAAUAAAGUAAACAUUCUAUUAUAUGGGAAGAAAUUAAGUUAUCAAGAAUGCUUCAUGCAAUAAAAUAAAGGAAAGAGCGGUCCAAUUCAAACUAAGGACAUACUGCACAAAGUUUGCAAGAAGCAUCAAAAAGACCAAUGAAGUUGUUUGAAAAUAAUAUACUUACAUCUCAGAACUGAUACCUUCCCCUAUAGGAACACAACGGGCAUGGCAAAUAAGUGAGCCACCUUUUGCAAUAAUCCCUCGCCACACAUAAUCAGGCUCAGGAAUGCGCUUUCCUAGUCCACCAACUGAAAUUUGCAUGCCAACUGGGCUAAGAUGACUUCUUCCUUCAAAAUUAGAAAGAGGAUCUGUAGAACCUGCGUAUGUACGAAGCCCAUAUGGUUCAUCCAAACCCAACCCUUGGUCAUCAGUUCUUCUGGCAGGAAAUGAUGAAUUGUGAGCUUGCAAAGUUCCCUCAACCCUUGAUCUUUUGGACUCCCUCUGAAGUUGGCUGGCAUCAAAGACAUCCCAAGCACUUGAUGCAGAUCUAUUUGGCAGAUUGAGACUGGCAGAAGGUGAAGACAGCAGGCCAGGUGCAGGAGAAGAUCUUCUCCAAUUUGGACCCCCCAAAUGGGCGUGAUGACCACCUUGAAGAUCAAAAUUUCCUUGAGGACCUAAUGGCCUCAUAAUGCCAUCAGGUCCAGGGGCUCCACGAGGUGGCAAAACUCCAGAAUCAUGACUAAUUAUGUCCAUUUGUCCAUGCCUAAAUGGAACAUCAUUCAGGUACGUAUCUGGCCUUGUCCCUUUGGUUCCAGGAUAAUUCCCCAAGUAAUCUUUGUUUGGUGCAAGUUCACUGUUUGAAUACUCAAUUGAGAUUCGUGGAUCACUAAAAAGCUUGCCUUGCAAACCUUCUUUUGCAAGUCGUGCUUCAUCUACACUUCUAAAUUGUACAAACGCAUAGUUCCUGUCUUCAAAAGUUUUAAUCCUUUCUAUCUCACCAAACAGAAUCAUUGCAUUAUGCAACAUGUCUUCAUCAAUCUGAACUGAAGGAGGAUAACUUAUCCACAAGACCUUGCUUGGUUGACCAUCUCCCCUCCGCCCUCCUGGAGACUGGAAUUGCUGCAAAAGGGAGAAAAGGAAGUACAGGAGAGCAUUAGUUCUUAGAUAGCUCAUGGAUCCCAAAAGAAACAAGAAAUGGUUUCAAUAAGAUUUGCAUCCAAGACAGUUAUGGCAGAAAAAAAAACCAAUCUGAAGACCUUUCAAGCAUAAAGAUCUACAAAAAUCACUGAUGACAGCAGACAAAAACUAAAUCAUUUUUAAGGAUUGAAUAGUACAUGUCGUUUUGACCCAACUUGGAUAGACUCUUGUGCCAUCCACCGUGUAUCUGGAGGGCCAAUGCUCCUGUUGGGGAAAUGUCCUUCCCUUGCAUCACGAAAAUCAGGUAACUGCUCCUGCAUUAUAUGUGAACACAAUAUAACCUCUCUAUGCAAGUUACAAGGAUGAGCAAUAUGGAACAAGUACAAGCCAUGACUUUCAUGACCAAUGUAUGAUAUUUUCUAAGUCCCCAACAAGAAGCUAUAACCAAACUUCUAAGGUAAUUUAGCAGUUGGAUGCUUACUCUUCUAGAAGGUUGUGAUCGAAGAAAAUCCACACGUAUCUGAUCCCCACCAAUUCUCCUCCCAUUCAUAUUCUUCAACGCUUGAGAAGCAUCCUCUAAUCUAGAAAAGUCGACAUAUGCAGUAUUACGGUCUCUAAGAAAUUUAAAUUCCUGGAUUUUACCAAAUCUCGUAAAUUCUUCUUCCAGUUCUUCUUUUGAGACAGAUUGGCUUAUUCCAGCCACCCAUAAGCUCUUACAUGGUUUAGCCUGCAAGGAAACUACAUAAGAACAACAAAAUACCAAAACAAACUGAAUCUUACAGGCCUAUUUUGAUGAUCUAUCAUGUAUAUUGACACAAAUUAACAACUAAAAAAUAUACUCAUGUUUACACUUUUACAAUAACUGACUACCAGUACGGUGCCUCAGAAAUACAAUUGGGGAAUAAGUGGCAGAAUAGUCAUAGAACUCAAAAAACAAAUGAAACCAUAGUAGUGAGAAAAGAAAAGACAUUUCAAAAACAAGGAAAGAGAAAAGAAAAGAAUAGAAUAUGAUGCAUCACAUAGAGUAACUAUCAUAGACCCAAGUCUGAACAAGGCAGAGAACACCAUCAGCUCCACAAAGCAUAAUUAAUUUUUUGUUCUAAUUCUAUAUUUCUCUGAAGUCCACUAUACAUGCAAGACAUGCUAAAGAAAAGAACAACUACCAUCAAUACAACAAUUACGCUGAUUAGUAACUUGAGAAAAAUCAUGAAAAAGACAGAAGAAAAAGGCAAAAGAGACAACGUAGGAUAUGAAGGGACUUAAAGUUCAAAUGGUCUCAAUCAGGGUAUCUAAUGAUAAUUAUGACCAAUGAACGCCCAUUGUUUACACCAAAUGUAAUAUUUGCACUAGACAAACAAGCAAAAAAUAACUGCAAGCACAGCACCUUAUAACAAGUAAUAACACAACCGCCCCACAAAUUUGUUAGGCAAUUAAAUAAACUCCACUUCAAAAAUAGUUUUAAAAAGCAGAAGUUGACCAGUAUUCCUAUGCAUGCAUGUAAAGAGGAUUCAUCAUGUAUCAAAUUACUGCAAUGUCAGGCCUUAAUGGAGCAAUCUCGUUUUUGCACAAUCUACUAAAGAAGUGUCCAAAGAUUUGCAACCACACUGUUCUUUUUUUUUCAUAUAGUAUUUUAUACGACAAUUUGUUCAUUAGAGAUUUUGGUAUGAUGAUUUAUUUUCUUAACACAACUUCUGUUCAACCAGAAAUGGACGCAAAGUGAUAACAUUUUUCCUUGCAUCUUAAACAUUGAAUGCAAGAAAACGUUGGUACUAAGUGCAAUAAAAGAAUAAGUUGACCAUUUGCCAGACAAGUCGGACCUCCAGUUGAUCAGAUCCUAUGAUGUCUCCAGCUCAUAAACCUCAAGAAGCAAAUUACAUGAAGGAAAAACCAUGGUUGACCUUAUCUAUUAAUGCGCCAUCCAUCAUCAUAUCUAAACGGGCACACUCCUGAAGAUCUAAAUAUCCAUGCAAAACAUAUCGUCGCACAGUUAACUGUCAAUAUUUUGUACUUUUAUCUAAUAUAUAGAUGCUGAAAGGCUUGGAAUUUGUUGUUCAAGUGAAAUUUUAAUGGGUAGACGUGUUUCUCGAUAAGUUGGACGCACGAUUACUUAGAUUACAUUGCAAGUCAUCGUGCGAAAAGGUAUGUCUUCCAAUGGGAAAGUACCCCAGAAACUGGUAGUGUAAUAAACGCAAAAAUUUCGGGAACAUGUCCAGUAGCUUUGAUCAUACAAUACAAUGAAUUUCUACAAGAUUGAGCUUUGAUGCGUAAAAGCCCAACGCAUCUUUUACCCUGAAUUGUGACAUGUUCAUAUUCUCUACAAGAUCUGAAGAAGCAUAAAUUGUAAGAAAUUAGUAUUCACGUACGUUGAAUUGUGGCAUGUUCAUAUUCUCUACACAGCCCAGACUUUCACGCUGCUCUCAACAGCCCAGAUUUUCAUAGCAGCGCCGGCUAUUCCGCCGUCCUAGUCAUUGGGUUGGUGCGCAGGGAAAAUUUAUCGAAAAUCUUGAGCAAAACUCAAUUCUUUGUCGAUUAGUCCUUUUUAAUUUCACAAUUGUUAACUUUACUCCUUUUUUUUUAAUCUCUGACUUUGAUUUGUAGAGAAAAAUAAAUCUAUUACCCAAAGAAAAAGAAAUGGAACCACAAUCUUUUUCUCGCGCUUUUCUAUUACCAUGAAUUCGUAUAAAAAGUUGGAAUCAUCAAUUCGACUUCAAGCCCCCCCUCCCCCCAAACCCAAAAAAAAACUGAAGCCCCUCAAAAAAAAAUCAAAAAUAAAAAACGCAAAAGCAAAAUUUGCAUCGAAGGAGGAAAAUUCGAGAAAUCCAUUAGUGCUAUUAAUCAAACGCCACAUCAAAACUGAAACAAAAAAUUUCGAACAACAAUUAUAAUAAUUAUUACUGUUGGGAUUUUUAUGACUACGAAUCAAAAGAGUUUGACGAACCGGUUUAGCGAACUCGAUCUUAAUCGGGUUCCCAUGGAGAAUUGUGCCCUGAAGCUUUUCUUUGGCGGAUUUGGCGUCCUCAAUUUUCUUAUAAU